AGUGAACGCUGGCGGUAGGCCUAACACAUGCAAGUCGAACGGCAGCACAGUAAGAGCUUGCUCUUACGGGUGGCGAGUGGCGGACGGGUGAGGAAUACAUCGGAAUCUACUUUUUCGUGGGGGAUAACGUAGGGAAACUUACGCUAAUACCGCAUACGACCUACGGGUGAAAGCAGGGGAUCUUCGGACCUUGCGCGAUUGAAUGAGCCGAUGUCGGAUUAGCUAGUUGGCGGGGUAAAGGCCCACCAAGGCGACGAUCCGUAGCUGGUCUGAGAGGAUGAUCAGCCACACUGGAGCUGAGACACGGUCCAGACUCCUACGGGAGGCAGCAGUGGGGAAUAUUGGACAAUGGGCGCAAUCCUGAUCCAGCCAUACCGCGUGGGUGAAGAAGGCCUUCGGGUUGUAAAGCCCUUUUGUUGGGAAAGAAAAGCAGCAGGUUAAUACCCCGCUGUUCUGACGGUACCCAAAGAAUAAGCACCGGCUAACUUCGUG
This 492-nucleotide ribosomal RNA is filed under the name uncultured bacterium. RNAcentral's name for it is "partial 16S ribosomal RNA". It matches the Rfam family "Bacterial small subunit ribosomal RNA", at positions 29 to 507 of the family's 1533-position model. The record is from RNAcentral.